GUGAGGAAUAUUGGUCAAUGGGCAAGAGCCUGAACCAGCCAAGUCGCGUGAAGGAAGAAGGAUCUAUGGUUCGUAAACUUCUUUUGCAGGGGAAUAAAGUGCAGGACGUGUCCUGUUUUGUAUGUACCCUGAGAAUAAGGAUCGGCUAACUCCGUGCCAGCAGCCGCGGUAAUACGGAGGAUCCGAGCGUUAUCCGGAUUUAUUGGGUUUAAAGGGUGCGUAGGUGGUUUGAUAAGUCAGCGGUGAAAGUUUGCAGCUUAACUGUAAAAAUGCCGUUGAAACUGUCGGACUUGAGUGUAAAUGAGGUAGGCGGAAUGCGUGGUGUAGCGGUGAAAUGCAUAGAUAUCACGCAGAACUCCGAUUGCGAAGGCAGCUUACUAAGCUACAACUGACACUGAAGCACGAAAGCGUGGGGAUCAAACAGGAUUAGAAACCCGAGUAGUCC
This 445-nucleotide ribosomal RNA is filed under the name uncultured bacterium. RNAcentral's name for it is "partial 16S ribosomal RNA". It matches the Rfam family "Bacterial small subunit ribosomal RNA", at positions 354 to 796 of the family's 1533-position model. The record is from RNAcentral.